This 373-nucleotide long non-coding RNA is filed under the name Trifolium pratense (red clover). Its description in RNAcentral is "long non-coding RNA (TPRA_LNC012790)". Lineage: Eukaryota; Viridiplantae; Streptophyta; Magnoliopsida; Fabales; Fabaceae. The record is from RNAcentral.
AAGGGAGAUAGCUUCUGGGUCGUUGGAUUCGAGUAUAGAUAGAACAACCACAUGAAAGAUGUUAACCGGAGAGGUAGUCGACAGUGACAGAAAUGUCGAUGAUGGUGACCAGCUGGAGAUAAUGGAGGAGGUGUUGACACUCAUUCACUUCAAUCUCAUUCUCUAUCUCCUUCAUUUAUGAAUUUUUUUUUAGUGAUGAUGAUGAUGAAAGGAAGGGUUGGGUUUGAAGAUGAUGAAAUAGUAUUUCCAUGUUGUUGUGCUGUCGUUAAAUUUUUUUAGGGAUAGAUUUUGUUUUUCUAAGUUAGCAGAUUCCAAUUUUGAAGAUGAGAAUGAUUUCCCUUCCAAAUUUGAAGGUGAGAGAUUUGAGCAUGAG